Long non-coding RNA from Heterocephalus glaber (naked mole-rat), 2334 nucleotides. NCBI's taxonomy places the organism in Eukaryota, Metazoa, Chordata, Mammalia, Rodentia, Bathyergidae. The record is from Ensembl.
AGGCACUGUACUAGGUAUAAUGUCAUCUAGACAUGAUUUAAGGUAGGAGUAUGUUGCUAGUUUAUGUGCAAAUGCUAUGUUGUUUUACAUAAGGGGCUUCAGCAGCCACUGAUUUUGGUAUCCACAGGGGUUCCUGGAUCCAAUCCUCUGGAUACCAAGGCAGGACUGUAUUGCCUAUUUGUGAAAAUGGAGGGCCAGCACACACCGCCCCUGCUGGACGGAGGCUACAGGAGGAGCCCGACGAAGGAGCUCCUGAGCACACACAGGAGCGGGCAAUGCUGAGAACCUUGUCCCCACUCUCCGGGACACUCGCUUGGUGUCGGUGAUCACAGUCUACUUCUUGGGUCACACUGCUGCAGAAUGGCUCAGCUGCCCUCCAUCUGGAGCAGAGCUGUUAUCUGGAUGGCCUUCAUCAUCCUCCCAGGGAUUCCAUCUCAUCUCAUACACUGAGGUCCUGUCUCCUAUCUGUGUCUUUUUUCUGGGUCCCCUUUUCUUGUUUUGAUGGGACUUACACCCUUCUGAGGAAAGGUGCUUGACAGGUGCUGUGGUCUGAAUGUCCUCACCAACACGCAUGUUGAAAUUUACUUCCCGUUGUCAAGUAUUAGAAGGGUAGAAACUCAAUCCAACUGUAGUAUUUAGAGGUUCAAGAAAGCCAUAAGAAUGGGGCCAUAAUCCAACAGGAGGUAACUUUAUAAAAGGAAGAAAGACCUAAGCCAGGAUGUCCUGUUUCUCCCACCAUGUGGUUCUCUGCAUGGCUCUGGGAAGAGUCCACACCAGCAAGGACUUCACUAGAUCAGCAGCCCAAUCUUGAACUUCCAGCAUUCAGAACCUCAGUUCAUUCAGCCUGCUGUGACAAAAUACAAUGUCACUAACUAGGCAAUAUAAAAAUAAACAAUGUAUUUGUUGCUAUUUUGGAAGUUGGGAAGCCCAAGAUCAAGGAACCUGAGGAGCUGGUGCCAGGGGAGGACCACUUCCAGGUUCACACAUGGAGGUCUUCUUUUGUGUCCUCUCACAUAGUGGCAAAAUGAGGGAGCUUGCUGGGCCUCUUUUAUAAGGGCACCAACCCCAUUCACGAGGGCUCCACCUUCAUGGCUUAAUCACCCUCUAAAGGCCCCACUUCCAAUGCCAUCAUAGUGAAGGUUAGGAUUUCAACAUACAAAUUGGGGGUGCAGGAACAAACACUGAGACCACAGAAGAACGUACAGUUUUUUAAAAGCUUGUGGGUCUGGAAAUGACUUUAUUACACUUCCAAGGGUCUACCUAAAUAUAGAAUUCUAGGUCAAAAAAAUUUUCCCUUCCAAGUUUUAAAGGGAAGACCAGUAUCAUCUCAUUCCCAGUGUUGCUGUUGAGGAGUCCAAAGUCACUCUGAGGAGUCCUUGUCGGUGACCAUUUAUCUCCUAUUUGUUCCUUGUGUUCUAAAACAUCACGUGGUGCCUCAGGGCUCUUGUCGUUGAGAGCUGACUUCAGCCAGUAACUCAUGCCCUUCCCCAGAAUACUCUUACAGUCACCAUCUCUGCCGUGGAGUUCUGUUUCUCUGGCCUCUCUAGAAUGCCUGUUAGAAGUUGAAGCCCUGGAUUGACCUGUGCAUUUGUCCUUCCUUUUGUCUAUCAUGUUGUCUACUAAUUGUGAAACUUAUUCCAUUUUAUCUCCCAACCUAUCACUAAGAUUUUUCAUUUCUCCCAACAUAAUUUCCCAGAGCCCUUUGAUUUGAAUAUAGAAGUAUUUUAUAACACGGUUUUAAAAAUUAAAGGCUAUCCUACCAUCACAUUUGGCUUUUAUCUCACGCACUUUUUCCGUUCUGGGGCACCACAUGCCUGUCUCCUUGGGCUCCUCUCGGCUGUGAGUUUCUCACCUUCCCUGCUUUGCUUGACCUUGACAGUGCUAGGAGUACUGGCGGUAUUUUGUGCAGUGUCCCUCGGCUGGGUUUGUGUGAUGCUUUUCUCGAGGUUAGAAUGGGUUUUUAGGAGGAAGACCACAAGAAAAGAGCCAUUGUCAUCACUUUAACCCCAGGAUACACACUAGCAACAAGUCUGGCCACUCUGCCACCGAGCUUGAUCAUCUCUGAGGCGGUGUGCCAAGUUUCCCUAUGACACAGGUACCCAACCUACUUCUGUACUAUUUUGUUGCUCAGAUAGUUCUCGCUCUGGUUACUGGAGGCUUUCAGUUGCCUUCUGUGUCUGACAUACUCCCAUCAUUGUGUGUGCUUGUGUGGUUUGGGGGUAUUUUUUUUGUUGUUGUUUUUUCCAGUACCGGGGAUCAAACUCAGGACCUUGUGCUUGCGUGGCAGGCGCCGGAACCACUGAGCUAAAUCCCCAGCCCAAUGUGCUUGUGUGU